Molecule: long non-coding RNA, 359 nt
Organism: Dreissena polymorpha
Lineage: Eukaryota; Metazoa; Mollusca; Bivalvia; Myida; Dreissenidae
Exons: 3
Source: RefSeq, a predicted model, not a curated record
CUCAAGCAACGAUUGAUUAUAUCAUGCUUUUCAUUUGAAUUGAAAGCAAAGAUUGUAUGGAGUCCUAGAUGGCAACUUUAGAUAAAUGUUAAUGCCUAUCUGCUGUAAUUAAACAAAGGAUUGGCCUCAAUUAAUGUUGACAGUCCAUAAACACAGACGACAAAACGUUUCAAACACACGAACGUUAACUUCUCUUAAAGUAGUUUAUCAAAUCCGGGUUACCAGUGUCACGGACAAGACAAUACACCAUAUAUGGGCGAACCGCGACUAAUGAUGAUAUAAUUUCUAGUGUUCGCUUUAUCCAGUGUAAGCUGUAUUUGUUCACGUGCACUGUGGUUGCUGUAAAAUUCUGCGCUGGA